AAGCGGCGCCGCGGGAGGGGGUCUGUCGCCAUGGCGACCGCAGCGGAGGGGCUGCCCGAGGCCGGCGCGCAGCCCGCCAAGCAGGAUCCCGCUGUGGAAACAGCAGAGGAAGCUAAGGAACCAGCAGAAGCGGACAUCAAUGAGCUCUGUAAAGAUAUGUUCAGCAAAAUGGCCACUUACUUAACGGGUGAACUGACAGCCACCAGUGAAGACUACAAGCUCUUGGAAAACAUGAACAAGUUGACGAGCUUGAAGUACCUCGAAAUGAAAGAUAUUGCUAUAAACAUCAGUAGAAAUCUGAAGGAUUUAAAUCAAAAAUAUGCUGCUCUUCAGCCAUAUCUGGAACAAAUCAACCUAAUUGAGGAGCAGGUUGCAGCUCUGGAACAGGCAGCUUAUAAAUUGGAUGCAUAUUCCAAAAAACUUGAAGCCAAGUACAAAAAACUGGAGAAACGAUGAAACUGCAACUGUCUUUUGAAGUUGGAGUUGGGCUGUGGGUCAAACUGAUCUCUGAGUUGCACAACAUCGGUUUUAUAUGUUGACAAGGAUUUGGUAAUAGCUAACAUUUGCAAGAUGGCCACAAGAGGGUGAUGUUUCAGCAGAGAAAACUUCCAUAAGAUAAAGUAGUUAAGAGAAAGGACCAGUAUUCUGUUAAAACUAUUGCUUUUCUCCUUGAAGAAAAAGCUGUGCUGUUUUAAAAUUACAAAGGUGGGAAACUCCAGGAAUUCUGAAGAUGGGAAACCAUCUAGCUAUGUGUUGCACUUUGUGUUUUCAAGUAAAAGAGUUAAGACAUAGUAAACUGCUCCACAAACUCCUGAGUAUUGCACCUGCAGGAGGCAGAGACUGGAGAUGCCUCACAAGCGACUGUUCACUGGGAGAAAAUUUUAGAGAAUGAGUACCUGAGUGAUUAUGUGAUGGUGGCAUCCCAAUUAUGCCAGGAGCUGGCAACUGUAUUCUCAUUUCUGUCUUUAAAUAGCCAUUCUCCUCUCUGAGGGCUCUCUGUGUGAGUAGUGGAAUCCAAAUCAUGGCAAGUCUGGCAGGUCUUUGACAAGUUCUUGACAAGUUGAACUGCAACUGCAAACUGGGGAUAAAACUUAUCCUAGCAAAUGCAGCAAAUAUGGCAGAAGUUAUCCAAUAUUGGCCUCUAGCUAAAUAUGUUAUGUGUGCAGUGUUGCACCUGAUGGCAAGCAUACAAGAAAAAAAAAAGCAAUAUGUAGAGAACAAACAUUCUGUGAAUGUAUGAUGAGUUUUGUUAAUGAGAGAUUUGUUAAUGAUUAAUGUUUGUCCCUGCUUUCUGGUUUACAGUAGAGUGAAGUGGAACCUUUACAGAGGUUAAGGUUCAAAAAAAUCAAAAAAAUAAAAAAAUAAAGCAGUUCAUCCAAGUUUGUCAGCAGCUAUUGGUUUUAUCUAACCAGUUAUGCUUAAUCCAGAGGAGGCAGGAGCUAUUGAUUGCCUUUGCACUGUUAUUUAUUUAUUUAUUUAUUUAUUUUAUUGAUUAAACCAUAGCAUACACAAAGGGAGAUUUCCAGGAUGCAGCAUCAAGCCCUCCUUUGAUUCAGCAUUCCUGUUUCCUGUUGUAAUGGAACCCCUGGGAUUCACAACUA
Molecule: RNA transcript, 1601 nt
Organism: Lagopus leucura (white-tailed ptarmigan)
Lineage: Eukaryota; Metazoa; Chordata; Aves; Galliformes; Phasianidae
Gene: BLOC1S2
Gene name: biogenesis of lysosomal organelles complex 1 subunit 2
Exons: 6
Source: RefSeq, a predicted model, not a curated record